CGGCCGCGAGUAGUUAGUUAGUUGUGUCAGUUGCUCGGUGGAGGCGUCCGCGGUCACCAGAAAGGGGACGGGACAGGCGGCAAUGGUGAAUAUCGUGACGGCGUGUGCUCCCCUCAGGUGUCUAUCCAACCCAAGUCUUAUGCUGUAGUUGUUUCUUGGUGAUUUGCCUAGAAAACCUAAGGUGCUCUCCUACCCACUUCCUACCUCACCACUCUGGCAUUCCCCUACACUGGGGCAUCGAGCCUUCACAGGACCAAGGGCCUCUCCUCCCAUUGAUGCCAGAUAAGGCCAUCCUCUGCUACAUAUGCUGGAGCCAUGGGUCCAAGCCAAAUGGUUCGAGCAUAGUGGUUCCCAACCUUAACAUUGGCACCUUCAGAAUAUAGAAUGAGAGGCAAGGAGGAAAGGACAUUCAUCAUAAGAAGAUUUGAAUCACCUUGAAAUUGUAAAGGAAUGUAGCACUUGCUGCCAAACUACCGUGGUCACCAGAAUGAACGAA
This 496-nucleotide long non-coding RNA is filed under the name Rattus norvegicus (Norway rat). RNAcentral describes it as "long non-coding RNA NONRATT028601". The record is from RNAcentral. Lineage: Eukaryota; Metazoa; Chordata; Mammalia; Rodentia; Muridae.